Molecule: ribosomal RNA, 512 nt
Filed under: uncultured bacterium
Lineage: Bacteria
Description: bacterial SSU rRNA
Rfam family: Bacterial small subunit ribosomal RNA
Source: RNAcentral
UUAGAGUUUGAUCCUGGCUCAUAGAUGAACGUUAGCGGCAGGCUUAACACAUGCAAGUCGAGGGGCAGCCAUGAUGUAUCAAUACAUUGGCGGCGACCGGCGCACGGGUGAGUAACACGUAUGGAACCUGCCCUUUACUGGGAGAUAACCCGGAGAAAUCCGGACUAAUAUCCCAUAACAAGUCGGGGUGGCAUCACCUUGCUUUGAAAGCUCCGGCGGUAAAGGAUGGCCAUGCGCCCGAUUAGCUGGUUGGUGGGGUAACGGCCCACCAAGGCGACGAUCGGUAGGGGGCCUGAGAGGGUUAUCCCCCACACUGGUACUGAGACACGGACCAGACUCCUACGGGAGGCAGCAGUGAGGAAUAUUGCGCAAUGGAGGCAACUCUGACGCAGCCAUGCCGCGUGCAGGAAGAAGGCGCCUACGCGUUGUAAACUGCUUUUAUCCGGGAAGAAACCCCUCCCACGCGUGGAGGGUUGACGGUACCCGGAGAAUAAGCACCGGCUAACUUCUUG